UACGUAGGUGACCAGCGUUGUCCGGAUUUACUGGGCGUAAAGCGCGCGCAGGCGGUCGUUCAAGUCGAGUGUGAAAGCCCCCGGCUCAACUGGGGAGGGUCACUCGAUACUGAUCGACUUGAAGGCAGGAGAGGGAAGCGGAAUUCCCGGUGUAGUGGUGAAAUGCGUAGAUAUCGGGAGGAACACCAGUGGCGAAGGCGGCUUCCUGGCCUGUUCUUGACGCUGAGGCGCGAAAGCUAGGGGAGCAAACGGG
Molecule: ribosomal RNA, 253 nt
Filed under: uncultured bacterium
Lineage: Bacteria
Description: partial 16S ribosomal RNA
Rfam family: Bacterial small subunit ribosomal RNA
Source: RNAcentral